RNAcentral lists this ribosomal RNA (439 nucleotides) under uncultured bacterium. RNAcentral describes it as "partial 16S ribosomal RNA". It matches the Rfam family "Bacterial small subunit ribosomal RNA", at positions 339 to 795 of the family's 1533-position model. The record is from RNAcentral.
CUACGGGUCGCUGCAGUGGGGAAUAUUGCACAAUGGGGGAAACCCUGAUGCAGCAACGCCGCGUGGAGGAUGACACAUUUCGGUGCGUAAACUCCUUUUAUAUGUCAAGAAAAUGACGGUAGCAUAUGAAUAAGCACCGGCUAACUCCGUGCCAGCAGCCGCGGUAAUACGGAGGGUGCAAGCGUUACUCGGAAUCACUGGGCGUAAAGGACGCGUAGGCGGGUUGGAAAGUCAGGUGUGAAAUCCUACAGCUUAACUGUAGAACUGCACUUGAAACUUCUAAUCUAGAGUAUGGGAGGGGGAGAUGGAAUUAGUGGUGUAGGGGUAAAAUCCGUAGAUAUCACUAGGAAUACCUAAAGCGAAGGCGAUCUCCUGGAACAUUACUGACGCUAAGGCGUGAAAGCGUGGGGAGCAAACAGGAUUAGAUACCCCAGUAGUC